RNAcentral lists this ribosomal RNA (2902 nucleotides) under Escherichia coli. RNAcentral's name for it is "23S ribosomal RNA". It matches the Rfam family "Bacterial large subunit ribosomal RNA". Lineage: Bacteria; Pseudomonadati; Pseudomonadota; Gammaproteobacteria; Enterobacterales; Enterobacteriaceae. The record is from RNAcentral.
UUAAGCGACUAAGCGUACACGGUGGAUGCCCUGGCAGUCAGAGGCGAUGAAGGACGUGCUAAUCUGCGAUAAGCGUCGGUAAGGUGAUAUGAACCGUUAUAACCGGCGAUUUCCGAAUGGGGAAACCCAGUGUGAUUCGUCACACUAUCAUUAACUGAAUUCAUAGGUUAAUGAGGCGAACCGGGGGAACUGAAACAUCUAAGUACCCCGAGGAAAAGAAAUCAACCGAGAUUCCCCCAGUAGCGGCGAGCGAACGGGGAGGAGCCCAGAGCCUGAAUCAGUGUGUGUGUUAGUGGAAGCGUCUGGAAAGGCGCGCGAUACAGGGUGACAGCCCCGUACACAAAAAUGCACAUGCUGUGAGCUCGAUGAGUAGGGCGGGACACGUGGUAUCCUGUCUGAAUAUGGGGGGACCAUCCUCCAAGGCUAAAUACUCCUGACUGACCGAUAGUGAACCAGUACCGUGAGGGAAAGGCGAAAAGAACCCCGGCGAGGGGAGUGAAAAAGAACCUGAAACCGUGUACGUACAAGCAGUGGGAGCCUCUUAAUGGGGUGACUGCGUACCUUUUGUAUAAUGGGUCAGCGACUUAUAUUCUGUAGCAAGGUUAACCGAAUAGGGGAGCCGAAGGGAAACCGAGUCUUAACUGGGCGUUAAGUUGCAGGGUAUAGACCCGAAACCCGGUGAUCUAGCCAUGGGCAGGUUGAAGGUUGGGUAACACUAACUGGAGGACCGAACCGACUAAUGUUGAAAAAUUAGCGGAUGACUUGUGGCUGGGGGUGAAAGGCCAAUCAAACCGGGAGAUAGCUGGUUCUCCCCGAAAGCUAUUUAGGUAGCGCCUCGUGAAUUCAUCUCCGGGGGUAGAGCACUGUUUCGGCAAGGGGGUCAUCCCGACUUACCAACCCGAUGCAAACUGCGAAUACCGGAGAAUGUUAUCACGGGAGACACACGGCGGGUGCUAACGUCCGUCGUGAAGAGGGAAACAACCCAGACCGCCAGCUAAGGUCCCAAAGUCAUGGUUAAGUGGGAAACGAUGUGGGAAGGCCCAGACAGCCAGGAUGUUGGCUUAGAAGCAGCCAUCAUUUAAAGAAAGCGUAAUAGCUCACUGGUCGAGUCGGCCUGCGCGGAAGAUGUAACGGGGCUAAACCAUGCACCGAAGCUGCGGCAGCGACGCUUAUGCGUUGUUGGGUAGGGGAGCGUUCUGUAAGCCUGCGAAGGUGUACUGUGAGGUAUGCUGGAGGUAUCAGAAGUGCGAAUGCUGACAUAAGUAACGAUAAAGCGGGUGAAAAGCCCGCUCGCCGGAAGACCAAGGGUUCCUGUCCAACGUUAAUCGGGGCAGGGUGAGUCGACCCCUAAGGCGAGGCCGAAAGGCGUAGUCGAUGGGAAACAGGUUAAUAUUCCUGUACUUGGUGUUACUGCGAAGGGGGGACGGAGAAGGCUAUGUUGGCCGGGCGACGGUUGUCCCGGUUUAAGCGUGUAGGCUGGUUUUCCAGGCAAAUCCGGAAAAUCAAGGCUGAGGCGUGAUGACGAGGCACUACGGUGCUGAAGUAACAAAUGCCCUGCUUCCAGGAAAAGCCUCUAAGCAUCAGGUAACAUCAAAUCGUACCCCAAACCGACACAGGUGGUCAGGUAGAGAAUACCAAGGCGCUUGAGAGAACUCGGGUGAAGGAACUAGGCAAAAUGGUGCCGUAACUUCGGGAGAAGGCACGCUGAUAUGUAGGUGAAGCGACUUGCUCGUGGAGCUGAAAUCAGUCGAAGAUACCAGCUGGCUGCAACUGUUUAUUAAAAACACAGCACUGUGCAAACACGAAAGUGGACGUAUACGGUGUGACGCCUGCCCGGUGCCGGAAGGUUAAUUGAUGGGGUUAGCGGUAACGCGAAGCUCUUGAUCGAAGCCCCGGUAAACGGCGGCCGUAACUAUAACGGUCCUAAGGUAGCGAAAUUCCUUGUCGGGUAAGUUCCGACCUGCACGAAUGGCGUAAUGAUGGCCAGGCUGUCUCCACCCGAGACUCAGUGAAAUUGAACUCGCUGUGAAGAUGCAGUGUACCCGCGGCAAGACGGAAAGACCCCGUGAACCUUUACUAUAGCUUGACACUGAACAUUGAGCCUUGAUGUGUAGGAUAGGUGGGAGGCUUUGAAGUGUGGACGCCAGUCUGCAUGGAGCCGACCUUGAAAUACCACCCUUUAAUGUUUGAUGUUCUAACGUUGGCCCCUAAUCGGGGUUGCGGACAGUGUCUGGUGGGUAGUUUGACUGGGGCGGUCUCCUCCUAAAGAGUAACGGAGGAGCACGAAGGUUGGCUAAUCCUGGUCGGACAUCAGGAGGUUAGUGCAAUGGCAUAAGCCAGCUUGACUGCGAGCGUGACGGCGCGAGCAGGUGCGAAAGCAGGUCAUAGUGAUCCGGUGGUUCUGAAUGGAAGGGCCAUCGCUCAACGGAUAAAAGGUACUCCGGGGAUAACAGGCUGAUACCGCCCAAGAGUUCAUAUCGACGGCGGUGUUUGGCACCUCGAUGUCGGCUCAUCACAUCCUGGGGCUGAAGUAGGUCCCAAGGGUAUGGCUGUUCGCCAUUUAAAGUGGUACGCGAGCUGGGUUUAGAACGUCGUGAGACAGUUCGGUCCCUAUCUGCCGUGGGCGCUGGAGAACUGAGGGGGGCUGCUCCUAGUACGAGAGGACCGGAGUGGACGCAUCACUGGUGUUCGGGUUGUCAUGCCAAUGGCACUGCCCGGUAGCUAAAUGCGGAAGAGAUAAGUGCUGAAAGCAUCUAAGCACGAAACUUGCCCCGAGAUGAGUUCUCCCUGACUCCUUGAGAGUCCUGAAGGAACGUUGAAGACGACGACGUUGAUAGGCCGGGUGUGUAAGCGCAGCGAUGCGUUGAGCUAACCGGUACUAAUGAACCGUGAGGCUUAACCU